GGAAUAUUCCACAAUGGGCGAAAGCCUGAUGGAGCGACGCCGCGUGAGUGAAGAAGGGCUUCGGCUCGUAAAGCUCUUUUCUCGUUGACGAAUUAGCCUUCGAGGCAGUUGACGGUAGACGGGGAAUAAGCCACGGCUAACUACGUGCCAGCAGCCGCGGUAAUACGUAGGUGGCAAGCGUUAUCCGGAUUUAUUGGGCGUAAAGCGAGCGCAGGCGGUUUGAUAAGUCUGAUGUGAAAGCCUUUGGCUUAACCGAAGAAGUGCAUCGGAAACUGGGAAACUUGAGUGCAGAAGAGGACAGUGGAACUCCAUGUGUAGCGGUGAAAUGCGUAGAUAUAUGGAAGAACACCAGUGGCGAAGGCGGCUGUCUGGUCUGUAACUGACGCUGAGGCUCGAAAGCAUGGGUAGCGAACA
Molecule: ribosomal RNA, 414 nt
Filed under: uncultured bacterium
Lineage: Bacteria
Description: bacterial SSU rRNA
Rfam family: Bacterial small subunit ribosomal RNA
Source: RNAcentral